RNAcentral lists this long non-coding RNA (461 nucleotides) under Oryzias javanicus (javanese ricefish). RNAcentral's name for it is "lncRNA (ENSOJAG00000022190.1)". Lineage: Eukaryota; Metazoa; Chordata; Actinopteri; Beloniformes; Adrianichthyidae. The record is from RNAcentral.
CGAGCGCGGUGUGGCAGGCGGCGCGAGACAGAGGAGCCAGAGGAGGAAUCCGCGCGCGUGGAGCGGACGUAGCACGAGUUUGGAGGAACGGAAGCGGGAUGACAGCGAGGGUACGAGAAUUCCACUGUGGGACUCCUUCAUGAGCGGAACAGAAAAUAAAUAGAGACUGGAAGAGCAAAUCGCAAAUGGGAUUUCAUGAAAAGUCCAUAAUGUCCUGGAGGAGAGCCAGCUGUGUCAGGCACUGGUAGGGAGGGCUGCACGCCAUCCAGGGAGCUGCGAUGGGUCUUGGCGAGGCUGUAGACGUGAACAGAAACAUCAAGGAUGCUGCGUCAAAACGCCAACUCUGGACAGCACUGAAGCCCUCUGUCUAAAAUUGAUCUUGGCGGUGCGACAGGGGCAGCCACAAGCCAAGACCCAUGGAGGCGUGGCCUCAACUUCUCCAUCCCUGCGGCCGCUGGUAA